This 227-nucleotide ribosomal RNA is filed under the name uncultured Variovorax sp. Its description in RNAcentral is "partial 16S ribosomal RNA". It matches the Rfam family "Bacterial small subunit ribosomal RNA", at positions 128 to 355 of the family's 1533-position model. Lineage: Bacteria; Pseudomonadati; Pseudomonadota; Betaproteobacteria; Burkholderiales; Comamonadaceae. The record is from RNAcentral.
GCCCAAUCGUGGGGGAGUAACGCAGCGAAAGCUGUGCUAAUACCGCAUACGAUCUACGGAUGAAAGCAGGGGAUCGCAAGACCUUGCGCGAAUGGAGCGGCCGAUGGCAGAUUAGGUAGUUGGUGAGGUAAAGGCUCACCAAGCCUUCGAUCUGUAGCUGGUCUGAGAGGACGACCAGCCACACUGGGACUGAGACACGGCCCAAACUCCUACGGGAGGCAGCAGUA